This 851-nucleotide ribosomal RNA is filed under the name uncultured Bacillota bacterium. RNAcentral describes it as "bacterial SSU rRNA". Lineage: Bacteria; Bacillati; Bacillota. The record is from RNAcentral.
GAGUUUGAUCAUGGCUCAGGACGAACGCUGGCGGCACGCCUAACACAUGCAAGUCGAACGGAGAUAUUUUGGUUUACUGAGAUAUCUUAGUGGCGGACGGGUGAGUAACACGUGAGCAACCUGCCUCUGAGAGAGGGAUAGCUUCUGGAAACGGAUGGUAAUACCUCAUAACAUAACGAAGCCGCAUGACUUUGUUAUCAAAGAUUUAUCACUCAGAGAUGGGCUCGCGUCUGAUUAGAUAGUUGGUGAGGUAACGGCCCACCAAGUCGACGAUCAGUAGCCGGACUGAGAGGUUGAACGGCCACAUUGGGACUGAGACACGGCCCAGACUCCCACGGGAGGCAGCAGUGGGGAAUAUUGCACAAUGGGGGAAACCCUGAUGCAGCGAUGCCGCGUGGAGGAAGAAGGUUUUCGGAUUGUAAACUCCUGUCUUAAAGGACGAUAAUGACGGUACUUUAGGAGGAAGCUCCGGCUAACUACGUGCCAGCAGCCGCGGUAAUACGUAGGGAGCGAGCGUUGUCCGGAAUUACUGGGUGUAAAGGGAGCGUAGGCGGGAUGGCAAGUCAGAUGUGAAAACUAUGGGCUCAACCCAUAGACUGCAUUUGAAACUGUUGUUCUUGAGUGAAGUAGAGGUAAGCGGAAUUCCUGGUGUAGCGGUGAAAUGCGUAGAUAUCAGGAGGAACAUCGGUGGCGAAGGCGGCUUACUGGGCUUUUACUGACGCUGAGGCUCGAAGCGUGGGGAGCAACAGGAUUAGAUWCCCUGGUAGUCCACGCUGUAAACGAUGAUUACUAGGUGUGGGGGAUGACCCUUCCUKCCSYAGUUACMCGAUAAGAAUYCMCCUGGGAAGUAC